This is a long non-coding RNA of Thamnophis elegans (Western terrestrial garter snake), 3113 nucleotides long. RefSeq lists it as uncharacterized. Lineage: Eukaryota; Metazoa; Chordata; Lepidosauria; Squamata; Natricidae. The record is from RefSeq and is a predicted model, not a curated record. The transcript has 2 exons.
GCUCGGAAGCAGGCGGCGACCAACCCCACAGCGCACGCGCGUGACUAGAUGCAUCCCUCGCGUAGCAGGAAGUUCGUCCUCUUUUUCUUUUUUUUGACAGGCGGCCGGUGGAGGCUUGGGAGCGUUACGGGAUCUCUCCCGCCCCCGCCCCCCCCGGGAUCCUGAGCUCUCCCUGGUGCGAGUGAAUGUGGUCAUCACAGAAAAUGCUUGGAAUAAAGUUGAGGCUGAAACUACAAAAGCACUUCAAGAAAGCUGGAUUUUGUUGCAAUGGAUGACGACAUGGCAAUCUGCAAUGAACCUGACCUAGAAGCAAUUUUCCAAUCGGUAUGGAUUGAGGUACAAAUCAGCAGAAAAGUGCUGGAAGCAACUGAUGAAGUAGAUGAAUUAAGCGAAGAAUUAGGUGAGGACGACACACUAAUUGCAGAUAUUCCGAAAGAGGAUGUCAGUCACUUGAUAAGGCAAUUAAAGUCAUUUGCCAUGGAAAAAUGCCCAGGUAUUCUGAGUGAUAUAACCAGCAUUGAGUGCUUUCUCCACUUACCUUCAUAAAAAGAAUAAGCAAUGGACUAAAAUUGACUUUUUCAGAAACAAUGAACAGGCCAUGAAAAAAUACAUACCUAAAUAUAUUGAUUUUGUAUUAUACAGUAUUUUAUGAUUUUUCUGUUUUCAUUGUUUCUGUAUGACUUUCUCUAAAGUUGUACAGUAAAAUGAGGCACAUGUUCACAUUAGUAUAGUCUGUAUGUUGAUAAGCACUGUACGUUGAGCCCUUUCCUUCAAUCCCUUCGGUGGUCAAUUUACUCUACUUAAAAUCCACUAACUUAAAGAAUAUGUAAAAGAUUUAGAGCUUUAUAGCCAGGCAUAUUCACAAGGUUCUGGCCACUGCAGUAUCUCCAGUUACAGGAUCUUGGUUUCUAGUCUCCCUGGCCAGCUUCCCACAAGCAAAGUCAAUGGGGAAACCAGCAGGAAGCCAGAAAUCGUUCCUAAUGCAUUAUACUGCAACAAUUUUUGAAUCAAGGUUGUUCAAACCAAACCAAUAGCAAUAUGAUUUGGGGAAAAUUAAUGUUUAAUUCUGGUCACAUCACGACACUACCUUUGUCUCAAAGGAUGGCCCAACAGGUUAUGGGCUUGUUAUAUAAAACUAUAGCUCCAAUACAAUUAAGAUACUUAAAAUUUAUAUUUUAAAGACUAGAGGCCAAAUAUUAGGAAAAAUUAGAAAAGCAUUAAUUGGGGGGAAACUACAUUUGUGCAUAUUAAGGCAAAGAUUUUGUUUAAGGAUUCCAGCAGUACAUAGCUAUGCAUCAUUUAGACGGGAGCUAAUAACAUUACUAAUAUCAACUGGAUUUCAUUUUAAAACUUGUCAUAACAUUUAAAUGCAGAAAGGUGAUCUUUCUGGGUACAAAGCUCCAUACUUCAAGAUGCCUAACCUUUUUUCUGGCCAGUUGAUCAAAAUAAAUGUUAAGUUUGGCCUUUCCAGGCAAGAUUACGGAGUUCUUUCUGGUAAUGGAGAACAUACAUAUAGUAAAUACUAGAGAAAAAUGUAUUUAUUCCUCCUUUUUCCUUGCAAUCCUGCUGAAAAUUGCUGGCUUUCUGCUUCCAUUAGCUGGAAACGUAUAAUCUUAAAUAGAAUUACUAUAAUUGUACUUCAAAAUUGCUGGUGUCUUGCUCCAGUCUUCCAACAAUUACCAAUAUUACAAAGCUGAACUGGGUGUUCACGCAAGCAGAUAUUUUAAUUGAUCCCACUUCCACCUUAAAGAAUUCAGAAAGUAUAAAUGGUUUUACCAGAUGUGGAAAUUACAAGUUAUAGAAAGUUGCAAAUUUUCAAAUGUUUCUGGAACUGAAAAAGCCAGGAUUGUAUCUUUCAAUGCUACCCAUAACUGAACAUGCAAACCAGUAAAAUGUUAAAUGAAGUUCAAAGUUUUCUUAAGGCUGGAACAGACUUCUCCAGCACUGCAGGUGAGCGAAUAUAUGCAUGUGUUAUUCAGGGACAGUUGCGUAGGCAUUACUUUUACACAUCAGAGAAUGUUAAUGUUCUGGCUAAGUAGCCCUCAAACAGCAAAGCAUAGAAGUCCAAACAACUAAUCAUCACAUCUCCACAUGAGGUUGGAUUCAGGUCUGGACAGUCUGGAGCCUUCUGCAACUUCCGCUUAUAAACAAAUCCCUUUUGUAGCGUAGGUACGUGGCAAGGGCUGUGGGCAGUUUGUGCGCAACUUUUAAGUCAGCAUUUAGUAAGCACUCUUAUGCAGAAUUAACUAUUGGUUCAUAGUAUUUUCUGCACUAGAGUGAACUAGAGAUGUGUGACAUGCCAGUUCUCUGUGUUACUUUCCCUUAAAGGAAAUUAUGGUAGCUAUGAAGUAUUUCAUGGGGUCAAAUUGCCUGCCUUCACUUUUAAAUGAAACUGUCAAGACUCUUUACAGGACAGUCAUCUGCAGAUCCUAAAUGAUUCAGUCUUUGUACUCUAUCUUCCAAUUUACCUAACAAAGCUAAUUCAUGAACACUGGAAGUAAUCCAUUACACUUUAUUGAAUGCUGUGUUGUAGUAAUAGAAUAGGAUCAUUCACAACCAAACAUGUUCAGAGGCUCAGUUCUUUAAUCUUUAGUUGAAACGGUUGUGUUGCUUAGACUGGGAAAAUAUUUUUUGUUUUGGAAUUGAAUUUUAAACUGCACCAUUUAUAUUUAGAACUUCUCAUAAGCUUGACUGAAGGAACCUGCCCAAGACAGGUUUCUUUUUAACAUAUUAUCCCAGAAGACUCACCACAAUGUCACACAUUAGAAUAGUUAUAUUCACAAUAACUGUGUGUUGGUUAGAUAUGACUGAAAACCUGGAACUCUUUGGCUACAUUUUUAAAAUGGCUGUUGAUUGCAUAUUUUUCAUUGUUUGGACAAGUAUAGUUAAACUGUGAAGAUUACUGAUUGGAGCUUGAAACCUUUUUGGUAACGCAACUCCUUUACAGGUAUAAACAAGUCCUAGCAAAGGGAAUGCCUGAAACAUUUACAAUUCCUUUCAUAAGUCAUUGUUAAGAGAAUUUUAUACAUAGCAUUACAGUAAUACUCCUACCCUUUGGCCUCAAUUAUUACUGAAAUUAUUCUGCUUUUUAAAAUGUUUCCAUUUAUCCAUCC